This is a long non-coding RNA of Lingula anatina, 2564 nucleotides long. The record is from RefSeq and is a predicted model, not a curated record. NCBI's taxonomy places the organism in Eukaryota, Metazoa, Brachiopoda, Lingulata, Lingulida, Lingulidae.
UAGAAGAUGGAAGAGGAAGAUGUCUCAUGCCACGUUGCUACAUUUUCCACAUGUGGGUUGAAAAUUUGGCGCUGAAAACGGCAACAGUUUGUAAGUGAACGAAUUUGCUGUAAAAGGAAAAAGGGCCUUUUCUGAAUGCGUCUUACGUCUUACAUAAUGUACAAGGAACAGGCAGUAACCGUUAACUACCGACUUCAAAAAGAUUGGAGAUUGGAUGCGUCCUCAGCCAAAGAAAACACAUUCGUGUUCGAUAGUGAAGAAUGUACUGCUUGUCGAAGUUUGUCUUCCAGAUAAUUUGCAGGGUUGACAUUUAAUAUGGAAUUUAAUAUCAAUUUUUGUCAUUUGAUACAGCAUUUACUUUGGGUUGUAAUAUUUUAGAAAAAAGGGAGAGUCAAAUGAAAUACAAAGUAACGCAUUUGAUUAAUGAAACGUGUGAAUACCAUGAAAAAAUUAAAGAAAUUGAUGCUUUAUGUGUGCCAAACGUCAACCCUGCAUUUUGCUGGUAUAAAUACUAGAGUAGAUACAUGUGGUACCUAUUCAUUGUAUAGAACUCCUACCGUUCGUGGUAUUUUUUACUUUAAUGUUUAAUACAUUUUGGGCUGGAGCGGUUAAAAUCAGUUUUUGAAAAGCCUAGAAGUGAUACUUUUGGAGUUCUUAUUUGAUAAUUAUCUUUUUAACAUCAAAAUCUAUUUGAAGAUCAGGCCAGACAAAAUUGAUGACUGGUUUACAAGCGUCGACUUUUUGUGGACAGGGUUGGAUGAUUGAAAUUAUAUAUUUUUUGCUUUAUAAACAUGUGGUGUUUAAAUAGUAGUUAAAUUUUAGGGCCAAUCUUUUCAGAAAAAAAUCCCAUCUGCCAAACCAAAGUUAAUAUCAGUCUUUUCAUAAAAAAUUCACUCACAUCACUCGAAAAGAAUGAGCGCGAGAAAUUUAUUUCCUCAAAAGUAUUGUUGGUCCCGCUCGUUUCAGAAGUCAUCAAAUUUUUGUCUGACCUAAGAAUGCUGUGUGUGCGCAAAUCUGCAAUAAUGCACUUAGUUCUGCAUUUGUAGAGGUGUUUUUAAAUAUAAUAUAAAAUAUAAACAUUUUGGUAAAGUUGAUGUUUGGGAAGAAAAAUACGUUGUCGCAACCCCAUCAAACGUCCAAUUUCCGAGAUGCAAAUUUUGUGCGUUUUGUUGAAGGAGAGAAUGAGGUGUAAAUUUUCAUAAACUUAAUUACUUGUUGACUUGUUCUAAAAAAAUCUUCAAAAAUUAGUAUUGAGAAGCUGACACGUACCAACAUUUUUGCAGAAUUGCUCACACUUACAGACAAAUAUACGAUUGUGAUGCAUGCUAAGAAUAAACUUGCUUUGGUUUUCGGUGUUUUGAUUUUGUGUUUCUGAUCAGUUUCUGACAGGCCCUUAUUUUUAAUGCUGGAAGGGUACUACAUUUUUGCUUUAGGAAAAUGAAACCAGGGUCGGGAUAUUUUGAUUUAUCUCAAAAUCAUCAUUUGUUUUUGCAGUAAGAACCUUUGACGUUUGAAAAUUCUUUCUCAAAAUCAAAUUAAUUUCUUAUGCGUUGAAAACAAAUAGAAUAUUUGGUUAACGAGUCGAUGGCAUUUUGGCGACCAACUUUUCCAAAGGAGACGAGAAACGAGUUAAUAGUACUUUUACAAAAUAAACCUUUACAAACUUUUUCUAACUUCUACAAAUUUUAUGAUAGUACCUUGUAUCUUUAAUCAAAUGCACAGAAAUCUAAAUCCUAUCACAAUGUUUACAUUCAUUAGUUUGAAAUUUUCGACUCGCCAACUUGAACAGAAUUUCACAGCUAGUUUUCUAUGUCUGAAAAUACUAGCAGUACUUACUAAAUUUUAUUUUGGGGCUAAUUGUCUGCUGCUCAGAGAAAACCGCAAACCAAGGUGAGUCUGUUAGCACUGUCUGAAUGAAUGUGUGAAGUUUUUCCAAGUAAAAGGAUUUUUGCGUAACAGUUUUAUUUGUAUAAUAUAAAUGGCUUUGACUUUGAUAAUCUUGUAAACUGACCAUGUCCUUGUCGUACCAGAUUGGCACACUGUUAAAAAUUUUAGUUUCAUGCAAUAUUGUCCUAUCAAGUACCUAUUCUAGGAUUUAAUGUGAAAACAAAAUGAUGCAUAUCAUGAGCUACAUUAAUCAAUGAGCAAAAUAACGAAUCUUACUUUUGGGAUUGCCAUCAAAACGACAUACAUGCAGAACAAGGUGUGCUUGUCUGGGAAACACGGAAAUGAGAUCAUAUGCAUUUUGAAUUUUGAAUUUUGGAUAUUUUUCUCAUCGCUUAAUUUGGACAAAAUUUUCAUCAAAGAAAUGACAUAAACACUUUCAACGAAAAUUCCAAAUUAUAAUUUGAUUUGGAUUUCAGUAUUCAAUAUUUUAUAUUCAGUUUGUCUGUUGGUUCUGGUCAAAAUUUUAAAAGUUUUUUGGCGGAUCAUUAUAUAUUCCUGACCUUUUAUAUAUUAGUCAAAGCAGAAAAUCAUUUCAGCUGCAAUUUUCAAAAUGCAUAAUUAUCUUUGGCAUUUUUUAACUUGGCCUGGAGUUUUAAACUGCAUCAUGUUACAAAACC